RNAcentral lists this non-coding RNA (23 nucleotides) under Arabidopsis thaliana (thale cress). Lineage: Eukaryota; Viridiplantae; Streptophyta; Magnoliopsida; Brassicales; Brassicaceae. The record is from RNAcentral.
ACCUGCGUGAUCUGAACCUUGGU